RNAcentral lists this long non-coding RNA (1790 nucleotides) under Ursus maritimus (polar bear). RNAcentral's name for it is "lncRNA (ENSUMAG00000023317.1)". Lineage: Eukaryota; Metazoa; Chordata; Mammalia; Carnivora; Ursidae. The record is from RNAcentral.
GCCCCCCCCAGACCAGCACAGCCCCCCACGGACCAGCACAGCUGCCCACAGACUAAGGGAGGCCCCUCACCUGAGCUGCUGGAUGGCCAGCUGCAGCAAGGAGAAAGCUGGACUGCGGUCCCUCAGGCACCUGCCAGGUGCUGUCCGGCCUCUCCCUCCCCCUCGGUUAGUCACCACCCACCUCCACCCGGACCUCACCAGGCAGGUGACAGAGCCUGGGAAAGGAGUCCCCUGUGAGCUGGCACUGCCCACCCCCGUCCACAGACUGGCCAACAGAGGUUUAGUGGGGUUGAGUUCAGGCCCCUGCCUAGGGGGUCAUCCCCCACUAUCUAGGUUCACACUCUACCCCCCCCACCACCCCCUCGGUUAGUCACCACCCACCUCCACCUGGACCUCACCAGGCAGGUGACAGAGCCUGGGAAAGGAGUCCCCUGUGAGCUGGCACUGCCCACCCCCGUCCACAGACUGGCCAACAGAGGUUUAGUGGGGUUGAGUUCAGGCCCCUGCCUAGGGGGUCAUCCCCCACUAUCUAGGUUCACACUCUACCCCCCCCACCACCACCCAGGGUCAUCUGUUACCUGCUGCCCAAGGUGGCCCCUGCCCCACCUGCCCCACUCGGUGACCGGUGACCGCGCAGCUGGGCCCCCACCUGUCCCUUGAGGCUGCUCAGACUUUGCCCUCUAACCCCGCCCUCCCCCAGCAGGAAGCUGGGUGCUGGGCUCAGGUUCAGGGCAGGUCGGAGUCUGGUGACCCAGGGCUUGGCUAGAGCAAAGGCCGGAGGAGGCCCGACCAGCCCGCGUCCGGGGAGGAGGGUGAGGUUCAGCUCCUUAGCGCUGCUGUGUUUGGUUGUGUCAGGCAUGCGAUAAAAUCGCCCCGUUUCUGUGCACGUGUGUAGACUCGAACACCCCCCAGUCCGAAUUACCUGGCACCCCUCCCAUGCCCCCUGGGGUUGCACCCUGCCCCCACCGGCCCCAGGGCGCCAACGAUGACCUCUGGUCACAGUCUCUGGGAGAAGGCCACACACGGGGGAGAGCCAGAGCCUGGGAGGCAAAGCGCAAGGCCCAGCAGCCACCACGGGCUCCCCAGUCCCUCCUCUGGGCCGAGGCAGUCCGUCUAGACGCGCCGUGGUUUGCGUGGCCUGCCCCUGUCAAGGCAUCUAGGGACCUCCCGCUCGGACUGCAAAGAGCUGCUGAGACCUCCUGGGUCCUGAAGAUUGGUUUUUCCUGGAAGCUUUGCGGUUCGGUGACGCGCUCUGCAGUCCCUAGUCUUCGCCGAGAGGCGCGGCUUAGGUCCGGCUCCCUUCCCAUCGCUGUAGCACCGUUGGUGAGAAGGCCGUCCUUUCGUAUGAACGCUCGGGCACCUCGGCAUGACGGCCGCUCGCGUGCGCCUCCCCCUGCAUCUGUGCUGACUGCUGCCGCCCGUGGGAGCCUCGCCACGUGGACAGGAACACCCGCCCGCCCGGCCACUUCAUUCUUUCUAAAAGUUGUCUUAGCUCUUCCGCCACCAACCUGUUCUCCACAUACACGAGUUUGGCUCUGUCGUUGCUGUUGUUGGAACCCAUAUCCACGUGUAAGAGACCACGAGACUGGGGCGCCUGCGUGGCUCAGCCGGUGAAGCAUCUGCCUUCGGCUCAGGUCACGAUCCCAGGGUCCUGGGAUCGAGCCCCAUGUCGGGCUCCUUGUUCGGCAGGGAAUUUGCUUCUCCCUCUCCCUCUACCUCCUGGUCCCCUACUUGUGCUCUCUCGCUAUCUCUUGCUCUCUGUCAAAUAAAUAAAUAAAAUCUUAAAAAAA